RNAcentral lists this ribosomal RNA (614 nucleotides) under Enterococcus faecalis. Its description in RNAcentral is "bacterial SSU rRNA". It matches the Rfam family "Bacterial small subunit ribosomal RNA", at positions 828 to 1442 of the family's 1533-position model. The record is from RNAcentral. Lineage: Bacteria; Bacillati; Bacillota; Bacilli; Lactobacillales; Enterococcaceae.
GGGUUUCCGCCCUUCAGUGCUGCAGCAAACGCAUUAAGCACUCCGCCUGGGGAGUACGACCGCAAGGUUGAAACUCAAAGGAAUUGACGGGGGCCCGCACAAGCGGUGGAGCAUGUGGUUUAAUUCGAAGCAACGCGAAGAACCUUACCAGGUCUUGACAUCCUUUGACCACUCUAGAGAUAGAGCUUUCCCUUCGGGGACAAAGUGACAGGUGGUGCAUGGUUGUCGUCAGCUCGUGUCGUGAGAUGUUGGGUUAAGUCCCGCAACGAGCGCAACCCUUAUUGUUAGUUGCCAUCAUUUAGUUGGGCACUCUAGCGAGACUGCCGGUGACAAACCGGAGGAAGGUGGGGAUGACGUCAAAUCAUCAUGCCCCUUAUGACCUGGGCUACACACGUGCUACAAUGGGAAGUACAACGAGUCGCUAGACCGCGAGGUCAUGCAAAUCUCUUAAAGCUUCUCUCAGUUCGGAUUGCAGGCUGCAACUCGCCUGCAUGAAGCCGGAAUCGCUAGUAAUCGCGGAUCAGCACGCCGCGGUGAAUACGUUCCCGGGCCUUGUACACACCGCCCGUCACACCACGAGAGUUUGUAACACCCGAAGUCGGUGAGGUAACCUU